CAAGCAUUAUCCUGCGAAUGGAUUGAGAGCUUGCUCUCAAAAGUUAGCGGCGGAAGGGUGAGUAAGACGUGGGUAACCUGGCCAUAAAACUGGGAUAACUCCGGGAACCGGGGCUAAUACCGGAUAAUAUUUUGAACUGGAUGGUUCAAAAUUGAAAGGCGGCUUCGGCUGGCACUUAUGGAUGGAACCCCCUCCCAAUGCCUAGUUGGUGAAGUAACGUGUAAAUAAGACAACCAUGCUAACAAUAACAUUAAUGGCCUCCACCACGAUUGGGAUCAGUCCGGCCUUCUCACGGAGGGAAGGAAAACAAGGCGAGCCAAAUAGAAAGAAAUCAAAGCAGAACAAGCCCGCAUGAGAAAAGAACGCCAGGUGUCCACAAAACAGUGGGACAGCACACAAGCGCUAUGCUGUCGAGGGACCUAGAGAGACAUACCCUCAUCCCGGGAUAAAGAGGGGGCGCCCCGAUAUUAUCUAGUGGCCGAAAAAAAAAUUAUUGCCGAUGCGCGGCGCCUGUAAAAAAAGAAGGAAGAAAGUUUAGGGGGUAAACUGGGGGGGGGUUUAGUGAAAACUGCGAAAACUUUAGUCGCAAAGGGGGAAAACCCCCCUUUCCCUGUUUACCGGUUAAUUUUUUAACGGUGUUCUACAACGAGCGCCUUUUUGGUGCGGGUUUUCCCUCCCGGGUUCUUACGCCCAAAAUGGGGGCACAAAAAACCACAGAAGAACCCCCCCUUUCAACAGGUGGGUGUUGCCUCAAUCACGCCGGAAAUUUUUCACGUGAAAAGUUGUGAACGCCGCUUUUCCCCCUCUUUGGAGGCAAAAUUUCCACCAUUUUUACCCGACGCCGCCCCGGGUGAAUACACGCGCGGGGGUCUUCUUCAUCUCGCAAUGUUAUGUGACCCGGGGCGUCCCCCCACUAUCUGCGGCAGCAAAAUAGGCUGUUAUAAAAUUCGCCGCAAGCCCCCCCACU
RNAcentral lists this ribosomal RNA (967 nucleotides) under Bacillus thuringiensis. Its description in RNAcentral is "partial 16S ribosomal RNA". The stretch from base 9 to 298 matches the Rfam family "Bacterial small subunit ribosomal RNA", at positions 61 to 348 of the family's 1533-position model. Lineage: Bacteria; Bacillati; Bacillota; Bacilli; Caryophanales; Bacillaceae. The record is from RNAcentral.